RNAcentral lists this transfer RNA (71 nucleotides) under Termitogeton planus. RNAcentral's name for it is "tRNA-Pro". The record is from RNAcentral. Lineage: Eukaryota; Metazoa; Arthropoda; Insecta; Blattodea; Rhinotermitidae.
CAGAGGGUAUUUUAUUUGAAAAUUUUAGUUUUGGAGACUUGCGAAGGGGUUUAAAUGGGCCUUUCCUCUGA